RNAcentral lists this ribosomal RNA (89 nucleotides) under Enterobacter cloacae. RNAcentral describes it as "partial 23S ribosomal RNA". The stretch from base 1 to 77 matches the Rfam family "Bacterial large subunit ribosomal RNA", at positions 2849 to 2925 of the family's 2925-position model. The record is from RNAcentral. Lineage: Bacteria; Pseudomonadati; Pseudomonadota; Gammaproteobacteria; Enterobacterales; Enterobacteriaceae. RNAcentral also lists the same sequence under 3 other names.
GACGUUGAUAGGUCGGGUGUGUAAGCGCAGCGAUGCGUUGAGCUAACCGAUACUAAUGAACCGUGAGGCUUAACCUUACAACGCCGAAG